Molecule: long non-coding RNA, 349 nt
Organism: Phalaenopsis equestris
Lineage: Eukaryota; Viridiplantae; Streptophyta; Magnoliopsida; Asparagales; Orchidaceae
Exons: 3
Source: RefSeq, a predicted model, not a curated record
GCCGGCGGCGCCGACGGCGGAGGCGGUGGAGGCGGAGGUGGAGGCGGAGGGGGAGGUCGUGGUUGAUUCAGAUCCCCUAUGUGCUUCAGGCUUCACUGGACUGAACAGCCGUAAGCGAGCUCUGGCUCAGAUUUGUGUAUCUGGGGACCAGGUGGUGCCCGAAGUGGAAAACGACAGGGAUGGGGAGGUUGCAUGCGUGAAGAGGAAGCAUGGAGGGAAGGAUUAGGGUUUGACACUUAUAUAAAUAUGUGUGUAUUUACUAUUUAGUUGAUUAAAUUAAGGGAAUAAUUAAGAAUUUUUGCUAAUUUUUUGUUAUUUUGCCCUUCAAAAUUUUUUAAUUUGCUUGAGA